CAGCCGCCACGGUAACACGUAGGUGGCAAGCGUUGUCCGGAAUUAUUGGGCGUAAAGGGCUCGCAGGCGGUUUCUUAAGUCUGAUGUGAAAGCCCCCGGCUCAACCGGGGAGGGUCAUUGGAAACUGGGAAACUUGAGUGCAGAAGAGGAGAGUGGAAUUCCACGUGUAGCGGUGAAAUGCGUAGAGAUGUGGAGGAACACCAGUGGCGAAGGCGACUCUCUGGUCUGUAACUGACGCUGAGGAGCGAAAGCGUGGGGAGCGAACAGGAUUAGAUACCCGCGUAGUCCCUGUCUCUUAUAC
Molecule: ribosomal RNA, 301 nt
Filed under: uncultured bacterium
Lineage: Bacteria
Description: partial 16S ribosomal RNA
Rfam family: Bacterial small subunit ribosomal RNA
Source: RNAcentral